Molecule: ribosomal RNA, 206 nt
Filed under: uncultured bacterium
Lineage: Bacteria
Description: partial 16S ribosomal RNA
Rfam family: Bacterial small subunit ribosomal RNA
Source: RNAcentral
CUCGUAGGCGGCCAACUAAGUCAGACGUGAAAUCCCUCAGCUUAACUGGGGAACUGCGUCUGAUACUGGAUGGCUUGGAUUCGGGAGAGGAAUGCGGAAUUCCAGGUGUAGCGGUGAAAUGCGUAGAUAUCUGGAGGAACACCGGUGGCGAAGGCGGCAUUCUGGACCGAUAUUGACGCUGAGGAGCGAAAGCCAGGGAGCGAAAC